RNAcentral lists this small RNA (1541 nucleotides) under Arabidopsis thaliana (thale cress). RNAcentral describes it as "ATSL227880". Lineage: Eukaryota; Viridiplantae; Streptophyta; Magnoliopsida; Brassicales; Brassicaceae. The record is from RNAcentral.
AUUAUUGUUUAGGGUUUCUUUGGACAAAUUAAAGUUGUAAAAGAAACAUUUGUUUGUAACUUUUAACUGUAAAAGUGUAAGAGAGAGAGAGGUUAGAAGUAAAUUUUAGUUGUAACUUCAUACAUUUUAUUUUUGAACUUUUUCAUAUGAAAAUUAAAGAAAAAGCUUGUUAGAGAAAAACUUCAGAACCCGAAAAACUAAACCGGAACAUACCUUAAAUAUUAGUAUAUAUUAUACUUAUAUAUAGAAAAUAUUCUGAUUUUUUUAGAUAUUUUAAUUAUUUUUGUUUAUUUUUGGAUAUAUUUAAGUAAAAUUACAUGUGUUGUUUUGGGAAUUUUUUAAAAUUUCAAGUAAUUUGAUAGAUUUGCACACAAAAUUUUGAUAUUUUAAUAUUUAAAUAAAUCCGAAACCGACCCGAAAUCUUAAAAUUUAUGGUCAUUACUAUGCAUAACAUAAGAAAAACAUAUGCAUAUGAAAAAAAUUAUGUGCAUAUCACAUCAUCUUAAACAAUCCCAGAUAAUAGAAUUUUUUUUGCAGAUUAUCGGUGCAAAGCUUUCUAAAAAUUCUAUAGUACUACAAGUAAACAUGUUCAUCGUGGUUUUGUGUUUUAACCAUUACUAUGCAUAUUAUAAGUAAAACUUAAGCAAAACAUAUGCAUAUGAAAAAACAUUAUGUGCAAAUCACAUCACCUAAUACUUGUUUAGCAAUGUAAACAUCAAGAAGGAAAACAAGCUAAGUUUGUUCUUAAAAUAGCCGGAAAACCAUACAUCGGUUUCUUUAUUAAAGAACAACCUAAAUUUGUUUUAAGUUUAUUAAAUAAAUAUUGUUUUCAAUCACAUAUGAAUUAACUAGAUUAAAAAGUUUCAAAUUUAUAAAAAUAGUACGUAGAAACAAAUUUUGAAUACUUAACAACAUAUCAGUUCUCACACAUCAUCACUAUUAGCUUCAUGAUUUUUAUUUUUAUUUUAUUCAAAUGUGGUAGUAUAUAUUAUCUGUUUUUUAGGAUUUAUCUUCAAAUAUAUACAUAUUAGUAUUUAAAUUUAGUUAUUGUUAUGGAACAUUUGAGGAAGAAGCAAAUUAAGGGGGAGGGAGGUCAGGUGUUUUAUUCUAAUAGACUAACUGUUAUCCUUAUAAUAUGUAGAAAUAAUCUCUAAUAAUAUGUUUUGUUCGCAGAUAUCGAAUGGAGUUUGCACGUUUAUUGGAUUAGUCCAAAUUGUAAUCUAUGUGUGGUAUAUAAGAAGUCUAGCGCAAGGAUCACCACAGUGGAGAAUGCUUAAAUACCAAAAUACAGUACUUUUAAUUUAAGUUUGUAAUGUUUUUCUGUUUUAUUGUUACUUUCUAUAUUUUCUGUGUGUUUUGUUUAAUAUUGGUAUUUCUUAUGAUGUGAAAUAACAUACGUUAGUAAGAGUGUGUUUUUCCAUAGUUGGUACGGACGAAUAUAUCUAUUUAAUGUCACUAUCUUAUUUAUGUCAUUCGAAUGAGCAUUCUUUGUUUAAAAAUUUUAUGUUUAAAAUUUUAUAAUAUUGCUUUAAAUAAAAAAA